This 336-nucleotide ribosomal RNA is filed under the name uncultured bacterium. Its description in RNAcentral is "bacterial SSU rRNA". It matches the Rfam family "Bacterial small subunit ribosomal RNA", at positions 72 to 422 of the family's 1533-position model. The record is from RNAcentral.
AAGUGGAGCAAUCCAUGAGUAAAGUGGCGACCGGGUGAGUAACACGUGACUAACCUACCUUCGAGUGGGGGAUAACAUCGGGAAACCGAUGCUAAUACCGCAUAAUAUCGCAAGAUCAAAGCAGCAAUGCGCUGGAAGAGGGGGUCGCGGCUGAUUAGCUAGUUGGCGGGGUAACGGCCCACCAAGGCGAAGAUCGGUAGCCGGCCUGAGAGGGCGCACGGCCACACUGGAACUGAAACACGGUCCAGACUCCUACGGGAGGCAGCAGUGGGGAAUUUUGCGCAAUGGGGGAAACCCUGACGCAGCAACGCCGCGUGGAGGAUGAAGCCCCUUGGG